CAGUCAUACCAACGGGAAAUCAACCUUUUGAGCUCGGUCUCGUGGGUUUUGAAGGGUUUCAAAGCCUUCGGAUUCGCGGGAUUGGGAUCUCUUGGCGUACUUUUUCGUACGGUUAGUCAACAUCGGUUUUGAAUGUCAUAAAAUGACUGGAGGAAUGUAGCUUCGAUCUCGUAUUGAAGUGUUAUAGCCUUUGGUAGAUGUGAUGUUUGAGAUCGAGGAUUGCAACGGAUACCCUUCAGGGCUAUUCGUCUGAUCUCUGAUACGUUGCCUUGAUGUUGAAAGCUUGCUUAUGAUGUUAGGGUAUUACGGUCAAAAGGUUAGAACGAAUUACA
RNAcentral lists this ribosomal RNA (332 nucleotides) under uncultured Glomeromycotina. RNAcentral describes it as "eukaryotic LSU rRNA". The record is from RNAcentral. Lineage: Eukaryota; Fungi; Glomeromycota.